GCAAGCUCCUGUGCACGCUUUACUGCUUCAUAUUUUUGAGCUGUGAGCCCCUUAAGAUGAGGCAAACCACUGGACGGUGGAAUGGAUGCACUUGGUGCUGAACCAGGAGUUAGCAAUACCCCUGCAUCUGAAGAUGCAACUGGAGUAGGAAAAAUCCCUGCAUUAGCCGAAGGUUGAAGGCUCUCCUUGGGUCCCACCUGUGGAAGUCCCUCUCUAGUAAAGUUGGGACCCUUGUUCUUGUUUAAUGCAGGUAUCUUCUUGGCCUUUUGAGUCCACUCCUUUUGCAUUUGUA
This 292-nucleotide unclassified non-coding RNA is filed under the name Hevea brasiliensis (rubber tree). The record is from RNAcentral. Lineage: Eukaryota; Viridiplantae; Streptophyta; Magnoliopsida; Malpighiales; Euphorbiaceae.